Molecule: RNA transcript, 2506 nt
Organism: Anopheles arabiensis
Lineage: Eukaryota; Metazoa; Arthropoda; Insecta; Diptera; Culicidae
Gene: Teh2
Gene name: protein tipE
Exons: 5
Source: RefSeq, a predicted model, not a curated record
GGUAGGAAGACACGCUAGAGCAGCAUGAGGUCCAUGAACGAUAUUAGAGCGUCCUCGUCGACCCUGUCGGGGGCGCCUAGCUUAACCAUGAGCAAACCGAGCUUGAACAACAGCAAGGCCAGCCUCACGCACAGCAGACAGAGUAUGAACGUUUCAGACGGGGAAGAGCGGCCACCGACCAGGGAGGAGCUGAUUGCCGAGUUCCUGGAUAAGGCAAAGUUUUACACCUCGCUCUGUUUAGGCACAACGGCAAUCCUGUCAGUGUUUGCGUUUCUCUUUCUGAUACCGUUCGUGGUGGAUCCCGCCAUAUCAACGAUCGUGGCCGACUACGAUCCCGUCCCGGUGACGUGCGUCGUGACGGACCAUGUGUACGCGGAAGGCAUGCGCAACUGUACGUGGAGUUCGUGUCGGGAAGGCUGCACGACUGCCGCCAUCCGGUGCCAUCAGCUGCUGGUGAACUACACCAAGAUCGCGUUCCACGAAUGGCACAAGCAUCCGCGAGAUCUCGACAGCAUCGAGUGGGACGUAAUGGAUACGAAGUUUCUCGUCAACACCGAAGGGUGCGGGUAUCCACCGCGGGUGAAUUGUUCCGAAUUCGCUAAACAGUACGGUUACUCCCACGUUGGGGAACCGUUCCCAUGCUACUACAGUCGUGCCUACCCGGAGAUAGUGGUUGCUCGCUACUCCUGGGAUGACAAUCUGAAGCACCUGAUACUGUCGCUGAUCAUACCGAACGUACUGUUCGCCGUGUCGAUCGGUGUGCUGAGCUACUGGUAUUGUCCUUGCUGUGAUAAAGCCUGCCACAAGUCGCCUCGAGUCUACGCGGAGAAGUAUCCUACGAAAGAGAACAAACUUCUAUGCCGUAGUGACGAUGAGGAAGACGAACUAGACUACUGAAUAAUAUAAAAAUACACCCACACACAAACACACACACACGCGCACACGGUCUCUCCUACUUCUGUCUUAAAAACAGACAAAAAACACACACCCACACAAGUAUAGAUUAAAAUUUUCACCAACCAGCAGCCAAAUGUUUGCGUUUUGAUAGUACACACUUUCACACAGUAUGUUUCAAUAUCUUGCUGUACUGGUUGAACAGAUUUGUCCAUUUUUCCCACAAAAAGUUUAUUUUUGUUUCAAACAUUUCGUUCACCCCAUACAACCCAACGUGACGCACGGCAUCACGCGGUUUUACGGUUUUUUGUCAAUUUUUCUGUUCCUUUUGCCUGAUGGUAUACACAUGCCAGCCCACUCUCGCGCCACACCGCUCUCGGCACCCGAGAGCAACACACGGGCCACGCGCCCCCCCCUCCUCCCCCGGCCCACCUCCAUCAGUGGGAUCCAUCGGCACACGUGAGAGGGUAUUGCAUACGCAUCGGCAAAACGCAACAGGACCGCAGGAUACUUUUGAGCGAUAGAAAGAGUCGUGGAAGAUUGAGUAUCCGCAAGAGUUCAUCAACAAAAUGUGAGCGUGCGUCACCCAUCACCGUGUGUCAUGAAGGGAGCAAUGGCGACGAGCCCUAUCGUUUAGGUUUUCCGGUCUCCCGGGCCAAAAGGACAGCACAACUAACACACACGGUCCCACACAUCAGGCAUCAUCCCACUUCGGCCAUCACCGCAUGCAUCACCGGCUUCAAAUGCUACCGUGUAAGCGCUAUAAAUGGUAGGCGCGAUCUAGGUAACACACCACCAGCGGGGAUCAAACAAAUCGCGUUUUACAGCACACCGUAUAGGAAUGAAAGUGUUAAGUUUAAAAAUCUCCUCUUUCCAAUUGGCGAACAAAACCGAAACCCACACACCUCACGCGUGUGUACACGUUUACACUAUGAACUGUUGAAUCAUACUUUCUAGCUAGAUAGGCACAGUGCGACACUGGUCGGGCAGAUGGGAAGAUUAUUCAGAUUAGCCGCGUACACUAUUUUUAACGGCGAAUGUUUCUAUUUUCUGUUACAUACUACUACUACCAGCAUCUACACUUCCCCCUCUCUCAAGGCAGUUUUUAUCCUUCCCACACGUUAUUGUUGUUGCGAUGCGAAAGCGAUGUUCCACGACACGAACCCCUCUUUAAACGCCUCCUCUAGGCUCGCCCGAAAAAACCGCAGAGGAUACGCACGCCGCCGCGCCAUGGUGGCGCGUAAGACGAAGCUAAUUUCGAUGUAUGUAUUUUUCUUUUUUCUUUUUUAAACAAACACGGCUUCAGAAUCAGAGCUCGCGAGGAAAAUACAAAGAAAUACAAAAGAUAACGAUAACGAGAUUAAAUCAACACUAUCGACAAAAAAAACAUGUGAAAAAUCUUGAAGAAAGGGGCUAAACCAGCUUAAUCAUUACAGAAGUAUGUCAAGACAACUCUUACGCGAAAAAAAAAGUCGAUGCCGUGAGUUUGAAAUGCUUUAUCGAUCAAUCUUUGAUAUGAAACCUAGCACAUCUAAAAACUUUGUACAUUUUUGAAUAAACCUAAUAUAUUUAUGAAAUAUAGAGCAAUGCUUGAAAGACAGAAUGAAAACGA